GUCUUCUUAUGUGUCUGAUUGUGUUUAUGUAGCAAAGGAAAGGGGGUUUACGGGGCUCCAGGAGACAGACUUCCUUUUCCCGUGAACAACCGCCACUCACAGUAAGUCUGCCUGACUAGUUCACAGUCACCUUUUCUGUCAUGAAUUUAUAUUUCUUUGAUUGAGAUGCUUUCAUGUUCUUUUCUUUCCUCACAGUUUUAAACAUUGGUAAUUCAUGCUUUCUGUGUUUUUUCUGUUUUUCCACAGAAAGAGAAAAUGUGAGAGCUAGCAGGAUGAUGACAUGCCGUAUGUCAAGCUUUCGAAGACGGAACA
RNAcentral lists this unclassified non-coding RNA (312 nucleotides) under Hevea brasiliensis (rubber tree). The record is from RNAcentral. Lineage: Eukaryota; Viridiplantae; Streptophyta; Magnoliopsida; Malpighiales; Euphorbiaceae.